This 72-nucleotide transfer RNA is filed under the name Fukomys damarensis (Damara mole-rat). It matches the Rfam family "tRNA". Rfam says of the family: Transfer RNA (tRNA) molecules are approximately 80 nucleotides in length. The record is from Rfam by way of RNAcentral. Lineage: Eukaryota; Metazoa; Chordata; Mammalia; Rodentia; Bathyergidae.
GUGAAUGUAGCUCAGUGGUAAAGUACUUGCCUUGUGUGCAUUAGGUCCUGGGUUUGAUCCUCAGCACAUACA